UACGGAGGAUCCGAGCGUUAUCCGGAUUUAUUGGGUUUAAAGGGUGCGCAGGCGGGAUGUUAAGUCGGCGGUGAAAUUUUGCAGCUCAACUGUAAAAAGUGCCUUCGAUACUGGCUUUCUUGAGUGUGGAUGAAGUAGGCGGAAUUUGUGGUGUAGCGGUGAAAUGCUUAGAUAUCACGAGGAACUCCGAUUGCGCAGGCAGCUUACUAAACCACUACUGACGCUCAUGCACGAAGGCGUGGGGAUCAAACAGGAUUAGAUACCCCCGUA
RNAcentral lists this ribosomal RNA (270 nucleotides) under uncultured prokaryote. Its description in RNAcentral is "partial 16S ribosomal RNA". It matches the Rfam family "Bacterial small subunit ribosomal RNA", at positions 524 to 792 of the family's 1533-position model. The record is from RNAcentral.